RNAcentral lists this ribosomal RNA (301 nucleotides) under uncultured bacterium. RNAcentral's name for it is "partial 16S ribosomal RNA". It matches the Rfam family "Bacterial small subunit ribosomal RNA", at positions 509 to 807 of the family's 1533-position model. The record is from RNAcentral.
CAGUAGCCGCGGUAAUACGAAGGGGGCUAGCGUUGUUCGGAGUUAUUGGGCGUAAAGGGUGCGUAGGCGGCUUGACAAGUCUUGUGUGAAAUCUAUGGGCUCAACCCAUAGUCUGCACGGGAAACUGUCGGGCUUGAGAAUGGGAGAGGUGAGUGGAAUUUCCGGUGUAGCGGUGAAAUGCGUAGAUAUCGGAAGGAACACCUGUGGCGAAAGCGGCUCACUGGACCAUUUCUGACGCUGAUGCACGAAAGCUAGGGGAGCAAACAGGAUUAGAUACCCGAGUAGUCCCUGUCUCUUAUAC